Molecule: ribosomal RNA, 477 nt
Filed under: uncultured Sphingobacteriales bacterium
Lineage: Bacteria; Pseudomonadati; Bacteroidota; Sphingobacteriia; Sphingobacteriales
Description: bacterial SSU rRNA
Rfam family: Bacterial small subunit ribosomal RNA
Source: RNAcentral
AAAUGAAUUGACGGGGCCCGCACAAGCGGAGGAACAUGUGGUUUAAUUCGAUGAUACGCGAGGAACCUUACCUGGGCUUAAAUGUAGAGUGCAUUUUUAGAGAUAGAAAUUCCCUUCGGGGCUUUCUGCAAGGUGCUGCAUGGUUGUCGUCAGCUCGUGCCGUGAGGUGUCGGGUUAAGUCCCAUAACGAGCGCAACCCUUAUCGUUAGUUGCCAGCGGGUAAUGCCGGGAACUCUAACGAAACUGCCGGUGUAAACCGAGAGGAAGGUGGGGAUGACGUCAAAUCAGCACGGCCCUUAUGUCCAGGGCUACACACGUGUUACAAUGGCCGGUACAGAGGGCAGCUACCUGGAGACAGGAUGCGAACCUCGAAAGCCGGUCUCAGUUCGGAUCGGAGUCUGCAACUCGACUCCGUGAAGCUGGAUUCGCUAGUAAUCGCGCAUCAGCCAUGGCGCGGUGAAUACGUUCCCGGGCCUU